Molecule: ribosomal RNA, 529 nt
Filed under: uncultured bacterium
Lineage: Bacteria
Description: partial 16S ribosomal RNA
Rfam family: Bacterial small subunit ribosomal RNA
Source: RNAcentral
GACGAACGCUGGCGGCGUGCCUAACACAUGCAAGUCGAACGAACUCUGGUAUCGAUUGGUGCUUGCAUCAUGAUUUACAUUUGAGUGAGUGGCGAACUGGUGAGUAACACGUAGGAAACCUGCCCAGAAGCGGGGGAUAACACCUGGAAACAGAUGCUAAUACCGCAUAACAACUUGAACCGCAUGGUUCGAGUUUGAAAGAUGGCUCUGCUAUCACUUCUGGAUGGUCCUGCGGCGUAUUAGCUAGAUGGUGAGGUAACGGCUCACCAUGGCAAUGAUACGUAGCCGACCUGAGAGGGUAAUCGGCCACAUUGGGACUGAGACACGGCCCAAACUCCUACGGGAGGCAGCAGUAGGGAAUCUUCCACAAUGGACGAAAGUCUGAUGGAGCAACGCCGCGUGAGUGAAGAAGGGUUUCGGCUCGUAAAACUCUGUUGUUAGGGAAGAACAUAUCUGAGAGUAACUGUUCAGGUAUUGACGGUAUCUAACCAGAAAGCCACGGCUAACUACGUGCCAGCCGCCGCGGUAA